RNAcentral lists this ribosomal RNA (253 nucleotides) under uncultured bacterium. RNAcentral's name for it is "partial 16S ribosomal RNA". It matches the Rfam family "Bacterial small subunit ribosomal RNA", at positions 524 to 776 of the family's 1533-position model. The record is from RNAcentral.
UACGAGGGGGGCGAGCGUUGUUCGGAAUUAUUGGGCGUAAAGGGUGCGUAGGCGGUUUGGUAAGUCUUAUGUGAAAUCUAUGGGCUCAACUCAUAGUCUGCAUGAGAAACUGCCGGGCUUGAGUGUGGGAGAGGUGAGUGGAAUUUCCGGUGUAGCGGUGAAAUGCGUAGAUAUCGGAAGGAACGUCAAUGGCGAAGGCAGCCACCUGGCAUCAUACUGACGCUGAGGCGCGAAAGCGUGGGGAGCGAACAGG